GCCCCAUGUUGGGUGUAGAGUAUUUUUUUUAAAAACCUCACAAAUCAAAUAGGACAGAUUGACUUAAGGGUCUCAAAACCUUGAAUAAACAGUCCGACAUUGGCAUGAUGUAACCAAACUUAUCCUUUGGUAUUCCUAAGUGCCAAGAUUCUGGGUUUGCUUUACAGGUUUCCAGCCUCUCAGGGUUUGCUGAGGCCCCCAGAGGGGCAGGUUCCCCGUCACAGCAGGGCUGAAGGCACGGGGGAUCCGGGACCACCGUGUAGUGCCGGUUCCCUGCUCGUUGAACGAGACCUAAGAGAUAUUGCCAAAUGUCCCCUGGGGGCAAAAUCAGCCAGGCUGAGAACCAGAACUUUGAGACCAACUCACUCUGACUCCAAGCCCCUCCCUACCCAGCUGUGAGGACGUCACACCCCAGUUACAGAUCCACGACCUCAGAAUCGACUCCAAAGACGAGCUUCGCCAUGUCGCUCCCCAGCCCUGAGAGCAGAAAGCACCAGAAUAGCAGCAUGAAUCACCCGGGAACUGUCAUGUAAUGCACGGGGCAGGACACUUUCUGCCGCGGCGCCUCUGCUUGUGUUCCAGGGAUCGGGGAAGGGGACACUGGCGGACCGCAUCGCCACCUCCCGGUCCCACUCCCGAGAGCUCGGAGUCUGAAGAGGUUUGAAGAAGCCCACAGUGGUGACAGCGGCUUUCAAGAUUUUAGGUUGAGUAUGGAUUAUUUUGUCCCGUCCUCACAGUCACCUUGGAAAGUCCUUGGCGUGGCAUCAUCCCCAUUUACAGGCAAGGA
This is a long non-coding RNA of Suricata suricatta (meerkat), 787 nucleotides long. RefSeq lists it as uncharacterized. The transcript has 4 exons. Lineage: Eukaryota; Metazoa; Chordata; Mammalia; Carnivora; Herpestidae. The record is from RefSeq and is a predicted model, not a curated record.